Molecule: non-coding RNA, 1183 nt
Organism: Cinara cedri
Lineage: Eukaryota; Metazoa; Arthropoda; Insecta; Hemiptera; Aphididae
Source: the annotation of a GenBank genome assembly
UAUCUAUUAAGACUAUAACCACCAUAGAAGCACGGACGUAUGCGUCCGUGAUAAUAAGUAAAUAAAUUAUUAAAUGUAUUAUCUAGGUCUAUGAGUAGACUCUAUCUAACGAAUGUUCUCAUAAACCAUGAUUAAAUAUAUCUUUAAUCGUGCCAUAGACUAUAAACAUUAUCAUGUUUGUGGAUGUUCCGCUGUGAGAGUUCACUGGUUCCCAAAAUGCGUAAAGUUCACUAUAAAGGCGGUAAAUAGGCAAUAAAUAUUGAGACAUGGAAGAUUUGAAGACAAUUCGAAGGCGUUUAAAAAAAUUUAGGUAACUUCUUACAUAUGUAUCGUAGUAAUCUGAAAAAGUCAGAUUAAAUAUAGAAGGAAAUUCGGGGCACCCCGUUGUAUUUCAUCGAUAUAAAACAAUAUAUUACCUAUUUAAACAAUAGUUUAUCGUUGCUUAGAGAAAUAAAAAAUUAAAUAACCUUAUGUAUUCUACCUUCCCAAUUUCUCACUUACAAUAGUGGCCGCUUCCAUCACCAGUAUUAGCUGUUUUUUUGAAUUCAUCUUAUGUUAUUAUGGACAAUUGUAAAGCCUUUAUUAUUAAUUACAAAUGUAUUAAGGAUGUUUAUAUCCAAAAAAGUAUUAUCAUUGAAAUUUCUGAGAUUAUCAAUUAAAUCAUUAAUAGUGUUAUUAAUUUAUAUAACAUAUAACAUAAUUAUAAUUUAAUGACAAUUUUUGUGCUACCUAUUAUAAGCUAUCUCGAUCUUUUUCGUUCCUGAUUUGAUAAAAUCUGGUUUGUUCAUUCUUGCAUACAAGGAUAUCUGAAUUAUUUUUCGACAUAAAUCUGAAUCCUUUUUCAUUUGCUAUUUUUUUCGAUUUACCAAAUUUACCAAAUUUUACAUUUUGUUAAACGAUCAUUGUAUGUUAUUAUAUGGGUAUAUAAUUUGUGUAAAAUUAUUAUUAAUAAUUUAGAGUAUUAUAUAAAACAAUUGUUGAAAAAAAUAUACAUUGUUUUGUUAUAGGUGAUGUAAAAAUUAAGUUUAUAGAAAGAAAUAGACAAAUAUUUAUAAAGUGUUGUUGGUACUUGGCUGGCUAAAGUCAAAGAAGGAAUGAAAUCUAUAAGUACAUCUUGUAAUUUAUAAUUAUUGUGCGUAAUAAUAAUAUUAUUUCAUAUAAAUACAUUAAUUACAAACAAUAC